GAUGAACGCUGGCGGCGUGCCUAAUACAUGCAGGUCGAGCGAACAGAUGAGGAGCUUGCUCCUCUGACGUUAGCGGCGGACGGGUGAGUAACACGUGGAUAACCUACCUAUAAGACUGGGAUAACUUCGGGAAACCGGAGCUAAUACCGGAUAAUAUAUUGAACCGCAUGGUUCAAUAGUGAAAGACGGUUUUGCUGUCACUUAUAGAUGGAUCCGCGCCGCAUUAGCUAGUUGGUAAGGUAACGGCUUACCAAGGCAACGAUGCGUAGCCGACCUGAGAGGGUGAUCGGCCACACUGGAACUGAGACACGGUCCAGACUCCUACGGGAGGCAGCAGUAGGGAAUCUUCCGCAAUGGGCGAAAGCCUGACGGAGCAACGCCGCGUGAGUGAUGAAGGUCUUCGGAUCGUAAAACUCUGUUAUUAGGGAAGAACAAAUGUGUAAGUAACUAUGCACGUCUUGACGGUACCUAAUCAGAAAGCCACGGCUAACUACGU
Molecule: ribosomal RNA, 496 nt
Filed under: uncultured bacterium
Lineage: Bacteria
Description: partial 16S ribosomal RNA
Rfam family: Bacterial small subunit ribosomal RNA
Source: RNAcentral